GUAACCCAGUGUUUUUUCUCUCUAAUUUUCUCCCUUUCACCUCUGAAUUUAUCUGUUUGUUUGUGGAAAUAUCACUACUUCUUGGCCUUUUCUUUUUUAAUAGGCUCAUAAUACCGAGCUAGAAGAUGAACCUCCAACAAAAAGACGACUUUCAUCAGCCUUUGUCAAGGUGACUGGACAAUAACACUUUGAGUGGAGCAAUUCCUGCAUCUUUGGCUAACAUGACACAGCUUGCCUUCCUGGACCUGUCAUACAACAAUCUAAGUGGUCCAGUACCAAGGUUGCAUGCCAAGACCUUCAAGUA
This is a long non-coding RNA of Humulus lupulus (European hop), 304 nucleotides long. RefSeq lists it as uncharacterized. The record is from RefSeq and is a predicted model, not a curated record. The transcript is spliced from 3 exons. NCBI's taxonomy places the organism in Eukaryota, Viridiplantae, Streptophyta, Magnoliopsida, Rosales, Cannabaceae.